RNAcentral lists this ribosomal RNA (253 nucleotides) under uncultured bacterium. RNAcentral describes it as "partial 16S ribosomal RNA". It matches the Rfam family "Bacterial small subunit ribosomal RNA", at positions 524 to 776 of the family's 1533-position model. The record is from RNAcentral.
UACGUAGGGUGCAAGCGUUGUCCGGAAUUAUUGGGCGUAAAGAGCUCGUAGGCGGCCUGUCGCGUCUGCUGUGAAAACUCAGGGCUUAACCCUGAGCUUGCAGUGGGUACGGGCAGACUAGAGUGCGGUAGGGGAGACUGGAAUUCCUGGUGUAGCGGUGAAAUGCGCAGAUAUCAGGAGGAACACCGGUGGCGAAGGCGGGUCUCUGGGCCGUAACUGACGCUGAGGAGCGAAAGCAUGGGGAGCGAACAGG